RNAcentral lists this microRNA (22 nucleotides) under Macaca mulatta (Rhesus monkey). RNAcentral's name for it is "Mml-Mir-506-P6a_5p* (star (passenger))". Lineage: Eukaryota; Metazoa; Chordata; Mammalia; Primates; Cercopithecidae. RNAcentral also lists the same sequence under 2 other names. The record is from RNAcentral.
UACUCAGAAAGGUGCCAUUUAU